Molecule: ribosomal RNA, 253 nt
Filed under: uncultured bacterium
Lineage: Bacteria
Description: partial 16S ribosomal RNA
Rfam family: Bacterial small subunit ribosomal RNA
Source: RNAcentral
UACGAAGGGGGCUAGCGUUGCUCGGAAUCACUGGGCGUAAAGCGCACGUAGGCGGCUUUUUAAGUCAGGGGUGAAAUCCUGGAGCUCAACUCCAGAACUGCCUUUGAUACUGAGAAGCUUGAGUCCGGGAGAGGUGAGUGGAACUGCGAGUGUAGAGGUGAAAUUCGUAGAUAUUCGCAAGAACACCAGUGGCGAAGGCGGCUCACUGGCCCGGUACUGACGCUGAGGUGCGCAAGCGUGGGGAGCAAACAGG